RNAcentral lists this ribosomal RNA (253 nucleotides) under uncultured bacterium. RNAcentral describes it as "partial 16S ribosomal RNA". It matches the Rfam family "Bacterial small subunit ribosomal RNA", at positions 524 to 776 of the family's 1533-position model. The record is from RNAcentral.
UACGUAGGGGGCGAGCGUUGUCCGAAGUUACUGGGCGUAAAGCGCGUGUAGGCGGUCCGGUAAGUCCGCUGUGAAAGUCGAGGGCUCAACCCUCGAAUGCCGGUGGAAACUGCCGGGCUGGAGUCCGGAAGAGGCGAGUGGAAUUCCUGGUGUAGCGGUGAAAUGCGCAGAUAUCAGGAGGAACACCAAUGGCGAAGGCAGCUCGCUGGGACGGUACUGACGCUGAGACGCGAAAGCGUGGGGAGCAAACAGG